Molecule: ribosomal RNA, 279 nt
Filed under: uncultured bacterium
Lineage: Bacteria
Description: partial 16S ribosomal RNA
Rfam family: Bacterial small subunit ribosomal RNA
Source: RNAcentral
UGCCAGCCGCCGCGGUAAUACGAAGGGGGCAAGCGUUGUUCGGAAUUACUGGGCGUAAAGGGCGUGUAGGCGGAUCGUUUAGUUGGGGGUGAAAUCCCGGGGCUCAACCUCGGAACUGCCUCCAAUACUGGCGAUCUUGAGUCUGUGAGAGGGUGGCGGAAUACCCAGUGUAGAGGUGAAAUUCGUAGAUAUUGGGUAGAACACCAGUGGCGAAGGCGGCCACCUGGCACAGUACUGACGCUGAGGCGCGAAAGCGUGGGGAGCAAACAGGAUUAGAUA